This 265-nucleotide ribosomal RNA is filed under the name uncultured archaeon. RNAcentral describes it as "partial 16S ribosomal RNA". It matches the Rfam family "Archaeal small subunit ribosomal RNA", at positions 716 to 982 of the family's 1478-position model. The record is from RNAcentral.
AGUCACUGACAUUAGAUACCCGCGUAGUCCAGGGUGUAAACGCUGCAGACUUGGUGCUGGAAGUCCUUUGGGGGCAUUCAGUGCCGGAGAGAAGUUGUUAAGUCUGCUACUUGGGGAGUACGUCCGCAAGGAUGAAACUUAAAGGAAUUGGCGGGGGAGCACCGCAACGGGAGGAGCGUGCGGUUUAAUUGGAUUCAACACCGUAAAACUCACCAGGGAAGACUGUUACAUGAAAGCCGAGAUGAAGACUCUGCUAGAUUUUCAG